Molecule: non-coding RNA, 73 nt
Organism: Stegodyphus mimosarum
Lineage: Eukaryota; Metazoa; Arthropoda; Arachnida; Araneae; Eresidae
Source: Rfam
GCCUUCGUGGUGUAGUGGUCAGCACGCUCGACGCGUAACCGAGAGGAUCAUGGUUCGAUUCCCGGCGAAGGCG